AGUCACUGACAUUAGAUACCCGGGUAGUCCAGGGUGUAAACGCUGCAGACUUGGUGUUGGGAACCCUUCGGGGGUGCUCAGUGCCGGAGAGAAGUUGUUAGGUCUGCUACUUGGGGAGUACGUCCGCAAGGAUGAAACUUAAAGGAAUUGGCGGGGAGCACCACAACGGGUGGAGCCUGCGGUUUAAUUGGACUCAACGCCGGAAAUCUCACCGGAUAGGACAGACAAAUGAUAGUCGGGCUGAAGACUCUACUUGAUGAUCUG
This 264-nucleotide ribosomal RNA is filed under the name uncultured archaeon. RNAcentral describes it as "partial 16S ribosomal RNA". It matches the Rfam family "Archaeal small subunit ribosomal RNA", at positions 719 to 982 of the family's 1478-position model. The record is from RNAcentral.